GAUGAACGCUGGCGGCGUGCCUAAUACAUGCAAGUCGAGCGAACGGACGAGAAGCUUGCUUCUCUGAUGUUAGCGGCGGACGGGUGAGUAACACGUGGAUAACCUACCUAUAAGACUGGGAUAACUUCGGGAAACCGUAGCUAAUACCGGAUAAUAUUUUGAACCGCAUGGUUCAAAAGUGAAAGACGGUCUUGCUGUCACUUAUAGAUGGAUCCGCGCUGCAUUAGCUAGUUGGUAAGGUAACGGCUUACCAAGGCAACGAUGCAUAGCCGACCUGAGAGGGUGAUCGGCCACACUGGAACUGAGACACGGUCCAGACUCCUACGGGAGGCAGCAGUAGGGAAUCUUCCGCAAUGGGCGAAAGCCUGACGGAGCAACGCCGCGUGAGUGAUGAAGGUCUUCGGAUCGUAUAACUCUGUUAUUAGGGAAGAACAUAUGUGUAAGUAACUGUGCACAUCUUGACGGUACCUAAUCAGAAAGCCACGGCUAACUACGUG
RNAcentral lists this ribosomal RNA (497 nucleotides) under uncultured bacterium. RNAcentral's name for it is "partial 16S ribosomal RNA". It matches the Rfam family "Bacterial small subunit ribosomal RNA", at positions 28 to 507 of the family's 1533-position model. The record is from RNAcentral.